Oxyura jamaicensis (ruddy duck) is the source of this 1080-nucleotide long non-coding RNA. RefSeq lists it as uncharacterized. The transcript is spliced from 3 exons. The record is from RefSeq and is a predicted model, not a curated record. Lineage: Eukaryota; Metazoa; Chordata; Aves; Anseriformes; Anatidae.
GUGAAUGUGGAUGGGGAGACUCCUGCAGAUCUGGUGCAUCCCUUUUCCUGCAUCCAUGCUCUCCCUUUUCCUAGUAGUCCAUAAUUCUUCUGCAUUAGCAGCCCGUUUUCCCUGGUGGUGGUUGAUAACAGCCGCAGGAGUUAUGAAGCAAACCCAAACAGUGCUUUGCAACACUUAAAUGCAGUACUUUGCCUGUAUCUGAAGAGCUUACUCACUGGCCAGCCACGCUCAAGGGAUGCCACAGCUCCAGCCCACGGACCAGCAUUGCUUCCCUUCUCAUCUCCUGCUUUCCAAGUGCGUGUCUGCAGAGUGCCACGACAGCAUCGGUCUGUUUUGAUCACACUGAUGUUAAGCUGUUCUUCCAGCACCUUAGCAGGCACCCAGCCUUUAGAAGCUAUUUCGAACUGCUCCCACUGUGAACUGUGGGAGCAUAGAAAAGUAUAGCAGGUCCAGGCACAGUGCAGUAGUAGGCAGGCUGAGGAAGAGCAUGUGAAAGGCACACAAGGAGAGCACUGCAGCCUGCACAAGCCUGUAGAGGGAAAAAUGGUGGAAAAACAUGGUCAGUACCCCAAGACCAUAUAUCUGAAGAAACUGUAAAGAAUACUGGCAAGUAAAAAAAAAAAAAAAAAAAAAAAAAAAAAAAGCUAGAAAAUGUUUUGGUAUUUUAACUUGAUUGUCAGCAAGUGAUACUUAGGUUACUUGAUAAGUAGAAAUUAUAAUUUUUCAUUUUUUUAACCAACCAUUUAUCCAGUUUAUGUCCCAGCAUGCUUAACUUCAGACACUACUGGUAAACAAGAGUGUCAAUAAAAUAACUUAUGCUUGCUUUAGAGAUUUAAUUUUCUCCCUUUCUCUUUUCUCAGUGACCUGGAGCUCAUCCUUUAAACAUGCUUGGCUCCAAAAUACAAGACAAUUUAUUUUUCUGUCAAGAUAGUGAGGGAUUUAGAUAUGAAGUAAUAUACCCCCGUGCUUUACAGUUAAUACCAAUUUCCUGCUUUUUCUUGAUAUUUUGAUAUCUCUCCUCUCCAUGAUCAUCUCUGUAUGCAAGUUAGAAAAUAAAGUACCAACAUAAAGACAAGUUUU